GAACAGCAAGAAUUGAUUUAAUCUGUGAGAUGCCAAAUGGAGCUAAUCCUGAAAUACUUUCUAUCUGUAGAGAUUGAUAGUUUACAAAGCACUUUCAUACAUAUUAUUUCAGUACUUUCCAUAACUAUUAUCUGCGUUUGACGGAUGAAGAAAUAAGGGUAUAAGAGCUGAGGUGACUUGGCCAGGAUCCUGCCAGCCUUCACAGAGUUGGCACUGGAGCCUGGGCCUUCACAGCCUGCCUCUGAGACACUUUCCUGUUUCUAGCACUCAAGUUCCAGUGUCUAUGGCAGCAUGCAAUAGGAUUACAGGAGGACAUCGUAGCCACAGAUAACCCGGCCAUGUUACCUGUUCAUUUCAACCUCUGCGACUAGGCCCAGAUUUCUCAGGACAUUUCCUUCCCCAUGAGCUGAAUUUUAACAUGCAGAUGUCACUCACAUCCUACAAGCUAAGGUGUAUGGGUUUGUGCUGGGACUAGGUCAUAUCUUCAUAUCUGUAUUUUAAAAAUCCCAGAACAACCCCAGCAGUGGUUUUCGAGAUGAGGAAGAGAGGAGACAGAACACCAAGUUCUGCUGGUUACCCUGCUCUUGGACUUCUCAGGUGCUUCAUUAAUAUCCUCUCUGAUGGCAUUUUGAUGCCAUUUUUCUGAUGGCAUUUUGCAGCUUGCCUCAAGUGUCCCUUCUGGUUUUCUAAUGUAGGACAAAGCCCAAGGAUGAGUGGCUGCGGUUGCCAGUCAGCAUUCUCUGCAGAUGUCUUUGGUGUGUGUAGCUGGGGUUAACCCGCUGUCUUAAUGUCUGCCUACUCGGUUUUGCAUGCAAGGAUACGUUAUACAAGAAAAUUCCAUCGAGAUCAUGUACAAGUAAAAUCAGCUUAUUUUUUCCGAAGAGGCAGGGGAGCUACUUCUUAGCAGAGUGAGCUGUAGAGUCUCUCUGGAAUGCAAAACACAGACCUUUGUAUUAGAAGUGAAAUAUUUAGAUAGGGAUCAUUAUGGAGCUCUUUUUAUAGCAAGGCAGGCCUGAAAAACAGAGAGAGAGCUGGGAAAGGAAGCACAAAGGAGGUAAUAAUAUCUGAUUAGCUAAGCAGCUGGAUAACUGAAGGAGAAUUUGUUAAAAACUUAUCAAGACAUCAAAGCUAGAUGUGAGUUGCUCUGUUAGCCCAGGCCACUUGUGGAGCCAUCUCUGGAAUAUUACUGAGCGUCUAAUUUGCUGCUAUUUUUUCCCCUAGCGUCACUCCUUCACUAAGGGAUCUGAGCUGUAACCUGACCUGUAGCUGUCAUCAGGGCUUUUUUUCCAUCCCUGUCAUGGCAUGGGAUCCCAGUGUGGAGAAGCUUAGUUGGUAUUCAAGUCAUCCGCAUCGUACUUGACCACGUGUGAACAAGUAACCUCAUGUUUCUGGGGACAGGCAGGGAGAAACUUGAGAACUUGAUCCCCUUGGGGGCCCUUGGAGGAUUGCUUCCACCAAGCCCUGGGUUUUGCAAGUGACUCGUUUCCCAAUCUAUGGCACAUCCAAGCCUCUUUGGUUUUCUUUUUCCCUGUUCACACAGAUAUAUUUGAGGCACCAUACUCUAUCUGCCCAAGAAAGGAAGAGGGGCAAGGAAAACCAUGUAAGUCAUGCUUCUUUAAAUAUUUUGGCUUCUACCAAAGCAGAUAUGAGAACAAUUGGACUAUAAUGAGAGUUUUCCAUUGGCCUCAACUAUCCUGGACAGUUGAACGCCAAGCCUAGUUUGAUAGGUACCUACUAUGGACCUGGUGGAGCUCCUUCUUAAAAUUAGACAGUGUGUACUGGCCAGAAUGUCUCAGUUUGCAGCCUGAGGAUGAUUAUGCUGAUCCUGGAGGCCCUGGGGAACUGUCUAGGGCACUAGGGGUGCCUGUGCUAACAGCAAAAGACCACUCCCCCACAACACCACACUUGCACAUGCCUCAUGUACAGAGGAAGUAGGUGCCAGGUCUUUUCAGAGAAGAGCUUCAAAGCCCUGCUGCCACCUACGAGAGCCUUUGAUCCAUCUCUCGGCUGAAUCCAGCCCCUCACGGGGCUGAUCCGCUUUGAAACCAGAGCCAGCAGCCCCUCUACAACUCCCUCUGAGUUACCUCACACACAAGAGCACAGGCUUCUGGGGGGCUUCUUUUUAUCUUCCCUAAAUUGCGAGAGGUACUUCUUUCAGCGUUGUCCUAUAGGAUUCUUAAGAACUGCCUGGGAGAUGUCUUAGGGCCAACACAAAGAAUUGCAAACAACAGCCCAGUGUCUUGGAAGCUUUCUCUACAGUUUAGUACGGAUAAACCACAUGCAGAUAGAAAAUAGGAAAAAAAGGAAAUUCAUGGUAAGGCUGCGUAUUUUCUUAUUUCGGGUGUGAGGGGAGUGGAGAAAUCCGUCAUGGAUAAAAUCCAACUUUAAUGACAGUCUGAAGCCCUGAAGCACAGACAUAUUGCAGAGCUAAUGUAUUAUUUUGUUUUUGUUUAUUCUGCAGAAAUGGGGAAAUUUCAUUUUUUAGUAGAAUUACAAGCUCCCCUUUUAUUAUUCACAAGUCCUAACAUGCAUGGCAUCCCGAGCCACAGAGCCUUCCGUGAUUUUAAUACCAGCUUCUUUGCGAAUCUAAACUGGUUUUCCAGUCCACUCCCUGGCAGGCCACGGGGGUUGUUGGAGUGGUGUUACACAUACUUAGCUUUCUUUGGGUGCUUGACCGCCGCCUAUUCUCAGGGGGGACAAGGAGCCUUGCUGUGGGCAUUACCAGUGGGAGGUAGGCAUGGACAGUGAAGUUCGGCACCUGACCUCUGAAUUCCCGCGGCCCUUGCAGGAUAUCACGCCCACGACUGGCGGUCCUCAGCCUGAACUGCGCGUUGGAAUCACCUGGGAAGCUUUAAACAUACUAAACCUGGGCCCUGCUAAAUAACACCCGUAUUCUGAUAUAAUGGGUCUGGGUGUGGCCUGGAUAUUAAGAUUUCUGACUUUCCCCUCCCACCUAGGUGAUUCCAUGUGCGGUCCAGGCUGAGAGCCACUGUCCCGCAGCCUCAUCAUACAGCUUGCCUAGGUUCCACAGCUGUGUCACUUCCUGGCCAUGUGACCCCGGGCAUGUUAACUGAGCUCAGCUUCCUUGUUUGUAACAUAGGGGAAUCACUGCAAGAUUCAUUACGCCUAUCUCCUAGAGAUUAUUGCAAGGGUUCAAGUUAUGGACAUGACUGGGAGGAUACCAUGGACCAGACACUGUUGUGGGACCUGGAACUGUUAUGGCUGGAAAAGGAGAGAUCAGAGUCCCUGCCUUUGUGGCGCUUCUUUAUUUUCUAGUCAUGGAGAUGGUGGAUAAACAAACAAACUUGCAAAUACAUACUGUAAUGUCAAAUCGUGGGCAGUACUGUGAAGGGAAAAUAUGGCCAAGGGGAAGGGUGGCAAGUGGCAGGAGAGAGUGCAUGCACAUAAAGGGCACAUGCAGUCCCGGGCUGUCAGAAAUGCAGGCAACUGGCUGGGCAUGGUGGCUCAUGCCUGUAAUCCCAGCACUUUUGGGAGGCCAAGGCAGGCGGAUCAUUUGAGUUGUGGAGUUCAAGACCAGCCUGGCCAACAUGGUGAAACCCUAUCUCUACUAAAAAUACAAAAAUUAGCCAGGCAUGGUGAUGCAUGCCUGUAGUCCCAGCUACUCUGGAGGCUGAGGCAGGAGAAUCACUUGAAACCAGGAGGCAGAGGUUGCAGUGAGCCAAGACUGCACCACUGUACUCCAGCCUGAGCAAGAGAGUGAGACUCUGUCUCAAAAAAAAAAAAAAAGAAAAGAAAAGAAAAAAAGGAAAGAAAGAAAGAAAUGCAGGCAACUGUGCGUGGCAUCCUUGGCAGGGUCUACAGUGUUUCAGUUCCUACCACUUCACCCUGGGUCAAUGAGAUCUCAGUGUGAUGUCUUUCUCUAAACAGAUUAGACACUCCCUCAAGACAGACCUCAGACUCUGUGCAAGCCCAGGGCCCGAUCGCCAUCUGUGUGAUGAAUCCAGGCACCUAGCUCUGUGCACAGCUUCUCAAAGUGAGCGUAGAUUUGGAGAGAAGAAGGGAUAAUCAGAUGUUUCAUUUACCCAGAACGUCAGCACAGACAGUGGACUGUUCUCAUUCACUCCAGAGCCGGCAUUUCAAUGGAGAUUAGCUGGCGUUCUAGAGGCCGCCUAAUUACCUGACAGGAGAAAGAAGACCAGGACAGAAGCAGCUGAAAUUCCAGGCAGAACAUAGGUUGUUUCAGAAGAAACACAAACUCUGCCUGGCGGUGUCUGAGGCCAUCUUCUUCAGGAAGGUGUUUCUUGGAUGCACUUCAAAGCGGAGGGGGCUUCACAGGUAGAAUUAGGUUGCAGGAAUGAGGGGAAGGUAGUCCCCUGGAAAAUGUGAAAAUGAGGGUUGAGAUGCAGGCAGGAAAAUUCAGGAGGACUGUUGAGUGAAUAGUCGCUCCCUCUGGCAGGUGCCCAGGGUGGGAGGAGGGUGGCAGUGUGAGGACAUCCUGAAACACACACGCUUUGGACUCAGAUCUUGCUGUCGUAGCUCCGCUACCUGAUCAGUCUGUGACCUUGGGCAACUUCCUUAGCUUUAUCUGUGAAAUGGGAAUAAUAGUGUCUUCCCUUCAAUGAGAACCAAAUGAGACAGUACUUUCUGUACAUCGAAUGCUGGUGUAGAGCAGUUAGAACAAAUCUGUAGAUCUGUGGAUCGAUGCUGGUGUAGAGCAGUUAGAACAAAUGAGUCUGGGGAGGUGGACCCAGGCCGUGCUGCACGAGCAGGGCCUCUGCACGGGCCCAGCGCUGACCUCAGGUUUAACCUUUUACUUGAGGUGUGGGAAUGGCUUUUUGGAUACUGUUGUUUGAAGAAAAAAAAAAGGUCAUGAAUAAAACUUAGAAUACUAACAACCACCCAGAAAGCCAGUCCCAUCUCUGCCCAGUAACGCCUUCCUUUCCUGCAGGAAGGUUGGAACCUUCCACAGUUCCACCAGGUAUUGGCCUGGUGGACCAGAUUGAAAGGGUGAGCAGACAAUGGGGGGACAGACACCUGAAGCCAGAGAUGUGGGCCAGGUGGGGGCUGUCGGCCCUUCCCACAGGCCCAGGCAGCUGCGCUGACACAGCUGUCCCUUUGAAAGUUGGCCCCGAGUGGGAAGCUCUGCAUUAUUCUCCCAGCCCACUGCAGAAUGCCUUCUGCCCAUUGCACAGUGGCAGCGUGCUUUGGGCAGCUUGAUGCUGGGGCUGCAUGGAGGGCCUCAGAAAAGUAGGUAGACUCGUAAGACGGGCUUUAUGCUGGAACAGGCACCACCACCCUGCCCUUUCCAGAGCCAAGCUAUGGACAUGGGUCCUGGAGAGGCAGAAAUGUCUUAAGGGAAGGAAAGGGAAAUCCUAAUUACUACCUGGGAAACAGCCCUCAUUUCCAAACCCAGCAGGUGACCUGCAGGAUAAUGUGUGGGCAGUGAUUCAUUAGAAGCUGUAAUCCCUAGUGUUCAAGCGAGAGUUGUAACUGUAUCUAGGGCCUGAGAGAGAGAAACGGGCUUCAUGAAUUACUCCUCUGGCACCGUUGCCUACAUACCUAGGCCUGUAGCAAUUUAUCCCAAAUGAGGAAAUAAUAAUGUCAUUUUCCUCCAGCCUUUCCCUGGGAGGAAGUUCUCUAAUAGAGGGUAGGCAGGUGUUAAGAAGAAAUCUUUCUGUAGUCUCAUUACAAGAUUGGGAUAAGUGAGCUCUUUUUCAGCUUCUGCCUCUCCUGUCCUUGCCUUGUCAGCAGCAGGGUUGGGAGUUAGGCACAGGGCAUGGUGGGAAAGAAGUCUUGCUGGGUUCUCAGUCAUUGCAGUUGGUUGUUUUAGGUAAAGUAAAUUGAUGUUGUGUUUCUUUUCCCUAAAUAUUGACUGUUGAACCUAGUUGUGGAAGAAAAGAUAUCUGUAUUUUGCUCUUA
Molecule: long non-coding RNA, 5880 nt
Organism: Gorilla gorilla gorilla (western lowland gorilla)
Lineage: Eukaryota; Metazoa; Chordata; Mammalia; Primates; Hominidae
Exons: 2
Source: RefSeq, a predicted model, not a curated record